GAAAUGCGAUAAGUAGUGUGAAUUGCAGAAUUCAGUGAAUCAUCGAAUCUUUGAACGCACAUUGCGCCCCUUGGUAUUCCAUGGGGCAUGCCUGUUCGAGCGUCAUUUGUACCCUCAAGCUCUGCUUGGUGUUGGGUGUUUGUCCCCGUCUCCGCGCGUGGACUCGCCCCAAAGUGAUUGGCAGCCGGCGUACUGGUCCCGGAGCGCAGCACAUGUCGCGCAAACGAGUGCCUUGGUACGGCGGCGUCCAUAAGCCCCUCUCUCACGCUCUUGACCUCGGAUCAGGUAGGGAUACCCGCUGAAGUUAAGC
Molecule: unclassified non-coding RNA, 310 nt
Filed under: plant metagenome
Description: partial contains 5.8S ribosomal RNA, internal transcribed spacer 2, and large subunit ribosomal RNA
Rfam family: 5.8S ribosomal RNA (bases 1-105)
Source: RNAcentral